UUACCACGACGUUUGAAUUUAAUUUUUUUACUUUCUCUACAUUCUUUAUUACUUAAAACAGAAAAAUGAAGGAAAUCAAGAUGAAGAGAAGAAUGAAGAAAAAAAAGAUGAAGAGAAGGAAGAAGAAAAAAAAAAAUGAAGAGAAGAAAGAAGAAAAACAAGAUGAAAAGGAGAAAGAAGAUGAAGAAAAGCAUGACGACCAGGUAUGUUCACAUAACUUUGCCUUUUUUAUUUAUUUUUUAAAAUUCCAGACGUCGAUAUUUUUCUUUAAAC
Molecule: long non-coding RNA, 273 nt
Filed under: Prunus persica (peach)
Lineage: Eukaryota; Viridiplantae; Streptophyta; Magnoliopsida; Rosales; Rosaceae
Description: long non-coding RNA (PPER_LNC007935)
Source: RNAcentral